GGAUUUAUUGGGUUUAAAGGGAGCGUAGGCCGGAGAUUAAGUGUGUUGUGAAAUGUAGACGCUCAACGUCUGACUUGCAGCGCAUACUGGUUUCCUUGAGUACGCACAACGUUGGUGGAAUUCGUCGUGUAGCGGUGAAAUGCUUAGAUAUGACGAAGAACUCCGAUUGCGAAGGCAGCUGACGGGAGCGCAACUGACGCUUAAGCUCGAAGGUGCGGGUAUCGAACAGGAUUAGAUACCCUGGUAGUCCGCACAGUAAACGAUGGAUGCCCGCUGUUGGUACCUGGUAUCAGCGGCUAAGCGAAAGCAUUAAGCAUCCCACCUGGGGAGUACGCCGGCAACGGUGAAACUCAAAGGAAUUGACGGGGGCCCGCACAAGCGGAGGAACAUGUGGUUUAAUUCGAUGAUACGCGAGGAACCUUACCCGGGCU
RNAcentral lists this ribosomal RNA (431 nucleotides) under uncultured bacterium. Its description in RNAcentral is "bacterial SSU rRNA". It matches the Rfam family "Bacterial small subunit ribosomal RNA", at positions 547 to 981 of the family's 1533-position model. The record is from RNAcentral.